GUUACCUAGGUUGGUCGCAAACCGAUCCGCACGAAUACAUAAGUAUUGGUGCUUGCGUUCAUUAAAGCAUAAUUAUAAUAAGACCGCGCCAUGUUGAUGGUUAAGUAAUCCACUUAACCCUCCGGCACGCAUACACUCACUUUCCAGGUCUGGUCUGGAGACACUAAUGCAAUUUGCGGUUUAAAGUCCUAGGUACGAUACCUGUGUAAUCCGUGAGAUUAUGGCUAGCUACUGAGAUGUGGAGUUGAGGUCACAGUCGGUGGACCGAGAUUCGCACGCUGGAUUGGUCGCGAAUGCUGAACCCUCCGGGUGAAAGGAUGAUUGAUGUGAUUCUAAAAGGCAGCUCAAGUUUAAAAGGAGGGGAGGGAUCUCGGUGUGGUAAGCGGAAGCAGGCAGCGUCUGUGAGCCGUGUUGAGCCCUUCUCGGGCUUUGUAGGGGGGCGCCGCGCUGGCUUGUCAGCCCCCCCGCGGCAAUAGGUGUUCUUGCUGUGUCUUGCGCUGGGCUGCACCCGGAAGCCCACAACCCCAGGAGGAGACUGCCGUACGGACCAGUUUUUCUUGCCCCGGUUGUGAGUGGACCGGUGAGGUAGUGGUGGCCGUCCUCGGUAGGUGUCCGUUGCUAGUGGUAGGUGAACAGCUGGCCUUCAAGGUCCAAUGUGCAAGUGCCCGCGCUGUGUUUUUCUUCUCGGUGCAACCGCGUCUCGGUUUUAGUGGUGUGUCGUCUCAGGCCCAUGGUCCUCCGUGUAUCUCUUGCCUUGCUGGCUGUGUGGGGCCCUUGACUGGGAGAGUCUUCGGAGGGGCCGUACAUGAGAUGGGUAGAUCUUCCCUUGCUUCGGUUUUUGAGUGUGUUGUGGAGCCCCCUGAGAAGAGCCCCUGCCCCCGGUGGUGUUUUCUCUUUGUUCUUGUUUUGGCGGUCAAGAGGGACGAGAGCGCGCGAUUAGGCUGGCCAGGUGUAGUGGGGGCAGUUAGCUUGCUUAGGUUUUCCCAGAGGUGGUGUGGCGCCUCUCGUGCGGCUCUCGCUUAGUUCGGUUUGCAGUCUUCUGCACCACUGCGUUGCCUAGCCAGGGGCUGGGAGAGCGUCCCGGUUGGCGUGAGUGAGGGAGUGAGGUGCGCACGGAGGCACAGACGGACGUAGAGCCGCGCGCCUGCCCCUGUGCUGUGUUUCGGCCCGGUCAGGGCCCCCGGUGCUCGUCCUUUAUCGGGCGAGCCGCCCACAGUGUAACACCCCAACAACAUCAACAACAUCAACAACAACAGUGGGGGCAGGUGGCCUGGUUAGGGUUCCUGGAGGUGGUAUGGUGCCUCUCACGCGGCUCUUGCUUAUUUCGGUUCACGGUCUUCUAGCUGUAGUGCCUAGCUAGGGGCUUGGAGAGUGCCCUGGCUGACGUGAGUGCGGGAGUCACUUCUUGGUAUAUCUGCAAAUAGUUCGCACGUGGGGGGGGGUGGGAAUGUACGUCCCCCACACACCCCCAUGAUGUAGGUACCUCUACCUGGUAAAGAAUCUGAUUGUCCCCAAUCUCCAUACCAUUGCCCCCCAUAUCUCCAUACCAUUCCCCCACCAUUCCCCAUACCACACAACCCCCCCAUAUUGAUGUACCAUUGCCCCCCCAUAUCCCCAUACCACUCCACCCAGUCUUACGGUAGCGAUGCAAAACAGUCUGCGAUAUUAUUUCUUCCCCGCCUCAUAGCAAAAAGAUACUCACAGUCUCCGAUGCCAUUCCAAUUCAUUUCACGAUAGCAACUACUUUCGAUCCACGUUCGUGCGUGCGUGCGUGCGUGCGUGCGUGCGUGUGUGUGUGUGUGUGUGUGUGUGUGUGUGUGUGUGUGUGUGUGUGUGUGUGUGUGUGGACCAAACAUAAUAUCUCGCCCGGCUGAAACGCGUUGUAGGUACUAUACAGCAUUCUCUAUUGCAAGGUAUCUCGCAUGUAGCCAACAAAAAUCGUAUGAGCACAAACAAGUUUGGCUGCCGCAAUUGACCGAGGCCAAAGUCACAUCAACGCCUCUCGCGCUAAAUUUCAUCCCGAAAGCUGCCGCGUAUCUCAUAAUGGAAUUCUGUGAUGACGGCGUAUGAUAACUCGAACACCCAGCUUGUGUUACCAUUUGCCGGCAUGGGCAAUCCGACUUGCCACCAGCAGGCCAACAUAAUUUGCUUUUUCAUUUCUCUAUGAAAUACACAAGCUGCUUGUUUGUACAUUUACUUUGGCCAAUGCACGGGGCCUCCGAAGAGUUGCGGUGUGCCCCGAUGAAGCCCGCGGCUGUGGGGCGGAUUGCUGAGGCCGCCGGCGCUUCGGGGAUAAACAUCACAGACAGCACCGAAAUUCACCCAGCUUGUGUUACCAUUUGCCCGCACGGGCAUUCCGACUUGCGGUCUGCCGCACUGUCCAUGCGGCAUGCACCCGGGAUGGAUGCGAUUCGCGUGAAGCCCGCAGGCGGUGCUGACGAUUCCGCUGGUGCAAGCUUAGCUCUCACACCAUCAGCACUGCUGCAACAAAGCACAUCUCCCACCGCGUUGACACUACCCAUCAAUUGUCACACGUGCCGCGCUAGCUACCGGCCUGUACGGAUGCAGGGGGGGCCCGCCCUUUUUCCGGCUUCGAGGAAGCCGAAACCCGACUUGUUUGGCUUAGACUGUAUGUCAUAAAAGUAAGAUGUCGGGGGCUAGAUGAUCGGCAGGCGGCUUGUAGGAGUCGGUUUGGGUGCCAUGCGCGGCGGAUGAGUGACCGUGUGCCAAGCCAGCCUAACCUAACAGCCUUUGCUGAUCAAAUUAUUGAAGUUUACAUUAAGAUUACCAUGUUCACGCAAGCUUUUCUCUAAAUUAGAACGGUGCGACGCGUGCCGGUGAGACCUGCUCCGGACCCCUAAAAUUGCACUAAAGCUCGCGAGUGAGAUCCGUACAUGUGAACGUUCCGGAUCCGGAGACUCAGAGACAACAACACGGCUACCUGCUGGUAGUCCUUUGCAGCAAUGACAUCCUUGUUCCAAUAGCGUGUAGGAGGCACAACGAACACAAUGGUGCAAAUCUUCCACGGAGGCCUUCUGGUGUCCAUCACCACACGGAUGAGGCCGCCGGGUUUGGAAUACAAGGUUAUGCUUCUUUCCCCGGAGAUCUCCGGCAGUCUCCGGUUCCCAGAGUGUCCGGUUCCCAGAGUAACCGGGCCGGCAAUUUCUGUUUUUUCAGAAAAGCCGGUUAUCAUGCCCUACAUGGCUUCUCGUGACAGCUUUUGAUUGCGUCACGGGGUUCCUGACAAUUCGUUCAUUGUACCGGAAAAGAGCUUCAUCCGUCCAAAUUAGUUUCAUAUGGUAUGGUGUCUGCCUGGAAGAUAUUUUACUGGAUGUAUUUGUAGAAGGCUCUCGGAGCGGCUCCUACGGCAGCAAACGAAGUAUCGGAGCCUUGGUCGGCAAACGCUGGAUUUCUCUUUCAGGAAGUGGUCCAUUUCUCUAGAGCCCCAAAAAACAUUGCUAUCGUGAGAUGGAGUCCAAUGGUACAGGAAUCGGGGUCAUUCCGUGAUAUAGUCUGAGCCAAACAUUGUGGAACACAUUGCCGGGUCGAGUGUAUGGAGUGGUACAGGGAUUGGGGGUUUUGUAACAGGCUUGUGGGGGGCAAUGCCCCCACGUGGGAUGGUAUGGAGUGGUACAGGAAUAGGAGACAAUGUUAUGGGGUGUGGGGGAGACGAAGUCUCUCUCACGUGACAUAAUUCGUACAGAGUGGGAGAGACUGGCGUCUCUCCCACACCCACAGGACACCUGUUUUGAAUCUGCCUCGCAAGGGGGGUAUAUAUAUAACCCUAUCACGUGGAUCGAAAGUAGUUGCUAUCGUGAAAUGAAUUGGAAUGGCAUCGGAGACUGUGAGUAUCUUUUUGCUAUGAGAUGGGGAAGAAGUAACAUUGCAGACUGUUUUGCAUUGCUACCGUGCGAUGGAGUGGAGUGGUAUGGGGAUGGUAUUGGGUAUGGAAAUAUGGGGGACAAUGGUACAUCAAUAUGGGGGGGUUGUGUGGUAUGGAGAUAUGGGGGGUAAUGGUAUGGAGAUAUGGGGGGUAAUGGUAUGGAGAUAUGGGGGGUAAUGGUAUGGAGAUAUGGGGACAAUGAGAUUCUUGACCAGGUAGAGAUACCAAUCCAAGAAGUGACGAAAAAGUGAGUUUUUUGCCCAGGUGGUAGGCUUGAGGGGUGUAGGGAAGACGAAGUCUUCCCCCGCGUGUGAAGUAUUUGUCGAAACGUGAAGAAGUGCCGAAAAAGUGAAAAUGUUGCCCAUGGGGGGCUCUUAUGACACAAUUCGUGCAAAAUUAUUUCGACAUCACAUCUUCUGUGUGAAUAUUUGACCAAGAAUGGCUACAGGGGCUGCAAGUAACUUUUUUGGGAUGACUUCAUCCCCAAGUUUCUUGUGUGAACUCUUUGGCUAGCAGCUGGAAAAUGUACAAAAGUACUUUUUUGAGCUGUGAAAGAGUUUUGUGUGAACUUUUGAAAGUAAUUUGCGGGAAUUUGGCCAUAAUUACUCAAAUUUUGUGUGAAAUAUUGGACUAGGAUUGCGUGUGAAAUGCGUGUUUUAUGCGUUGGUAUUUUGUGUGGAGGGUAGCCCGGUUAGGUAGUGAGGUGCGCACGGAGGCACAGACGGACGUGGAGCCGCGCGCUCGUCCCUGCGCUGUGUUUCGGUCCGGUCAGGGCCCCCGGUGCUCGUCCUUUAUCGGGACGAGCCGCCCACAGUGUAACACCCCAAUUGUUGACUUAGAUACGACGGAGCGAAGCGAUCGGAGUCUCUAAGUCUGGUUCUGUGCGACUGUCGUACAACCGUAUUGGAAUGGCGAGUAAUAAUUGCUUCAGCUCUUUCGUUACAGGCAUUCUGCCUUUCACUCAGUAGAGCUUCAGCUUCUAGCUGACAGUGUAAGGGCCCUUGGCAGCUGGUCUCCCCGCUUCCCGUCUCUACCGUUCCUUGCACGGUCAGCCAGCACGUUCGAGUCGACAUACCCAUGAGAAUACGGUUAAGGGAGACAGGAGCACAGAACAACAACAUCAUUCCCAUGACAUGGCUUCUUGUCACGGCCUGCCUCCAUCAUGCAAGCGGCAAACGCUUACAUAGAGACACUUGCAACCCUAAGCACUUGCGUUGCACACAGUAUGAAAACCUCGUCCUAACAUCCACUGCAACACCAAGGGGCCGACAACCCCAAAGCGCUAAUGGGAGCCAUCCUAACACAGGAAAAGGCGUGUACUAUUUCUACACCUCACAUGAGCACCAUACGCUCCCUGCCAGCCCCAGCUAAACUUCCUAAGAUGGUACGGCCAUCGGCUGCCGGGAUGGCCUCUGGGUAUGACAAGAGCUAAAUGCCCUAUCCGAGUGGCUCCAGCAAUUGUGACAGAAGCCGCUGCAGUACCCAGCGCACACGCAAAACGGAAGGAGUCCCUUUUUUUAUCUACUCGUUCACAAAGGCUCGCUUGAGACGCGCUACUGACUUGCCCCUGCACCCGGCCUCCGUAAACCCGAAGGUCCUGAAACUUGCUUUUGAAUGGAGGGAACCCUUGGCAUGCAUACGCUCGUGGGUCAUGCCCGCGGCCCCUAAGGUACAAUUAGAGCUCCCCGUACAGAAUUGUCGUCGGGUUAACCCACGAUAAUCGCGUCUUUGUUGCACAUUCACAUGUAAACUCAAAAAACGUGCACAUGCACACCGACAUCACACAGCACCGCAUGACGCGUAUCAACCAAGAGACCAACGCGUCCAGCACCCGCACAGUCACUACAACAAUGACAUAAUUGAUUUGGGUCCGCCAACAUUCCAUCUCGACUCCAUUCCUCAGCACUACAGUCAUCAUCGCCACCAUCGUCAUUUAGACAAUUGUUAUCAUUUUUAUCAUCACCAUCAAAACAGCUGUCACCGCAAUAAUUGCACACUCGAGCCCAGUGCCACGGCACCAGUAGCUGUAGCCGCAGCAGCAGACACACGCAGCGGGUUACGGGUACAAAAAACGAACAUAACGACUCCACAGUGGAGUCCCAACAAUACGUAUGGACGCCUCUGGUACAAAUAAAACAGAUCUGACAGCGGUAAACUCGAAGACAACAACACCAACCACGAAGCCGGAUCGGGAGGCAAGACCAGAGCGCAGGUGGGGACCACGAGCGGCAGAGCGCCGCCUCACAAUCAC
This 6134-nucleotide long non-coding RNA is filed under the name Volvox carteri. RNAcentral's name for it is "long non-coding RNA (VCAR_LNC001970)". The record is from RNAcentral. Lineage: Eukaryota; Viridiplantae; Chlorophyta; Chlorophyceae; Chlamydomonadales; Volvocaceae.